GAUGAACGCUGGCGGCGUGCCUAAUACAUGCAAGUCGAGCGAACAGACGAGGAGCUUGCUCCUCUGACGUUAGCGGCGGACGGGUGAGUAACACGUGGAUAACCUACCUAUAAGACUGGGAUAACUUCGGGAAACCGGAGCUAAUACCGGAUAAUAUAUUGAACCGCAUGGUUCAAUAGUGAAAGACGGUUUUGCUGUCACUUAUAGAUGGAUCCGCGCCGCAUUAGCUAGUUGGUAAGGUAACGGCUUACCAAGGCAACGAUGCGUAGGCGACCUGAGAGGGUGAUAGGCCACACUGGAACUGAGACACGGUCCAGACUCCUACGGGAGGCAGCAGUAGGGAAUCUUCCGCAAUGGGCGAAAGCCUGACGGAGCAACGCCGCGUGAGUGAUGAAGGUCUUCGGAUCGUAAAACUCUGUUAUUAGGGAAGAACAAAUGUGUAAGUAACUAUGCACGUCUUGACGGUACCUAAUCAGAAAGCCACGGCUAACUACGUG
Molecule: ribosomal RNA, 497 nt
Filed under: uncultured bacterium
Lineage: Bacteria
Description: partial 16S ribosomal RNA
Rfam family: Bacterial small subunit ribosomal RNA
Source: RNAcentral